GACGAACGCUGGCGGCGUGCUUAACACAUGCAAGUCGAACGGAAAGGCCCUGCUUUUGUGGGGUGCUCGAGUGGCGAACGGGUGAGUAACACGUGAGUAACCUGCCCUUGACUUUGGGAUAACUUCAGGAAACUGGGGCUAAUACCGGAUAGGAGCUCCUGCUGCAUGGUGGGGGUUGGAAAGUUUCGGCGGUUGGGGAUGGACUCGCGGCUUAUCAGCUUGUUGGUGGGGUAGUGGCUUACCAAGGCUUUGACGGGUAGCCGGCCUGAGAGGGUGACCGGCCACAUUGGGACUGCGAUACGGCCCAGACUCCUACGGGAGGCAGCAGUGGAGAAUAUUGCACAAUGGGCGGAAGCCUGAUGCAGCGACGCCGCGUGCGGGAUGACGGCCUUCGGGUUGUAAACCGCUUUCGCCUGUGACGAAGCGUGAGUGACGGUAAUGGGUAAAGAAGCACCGGCUAACUACGUG
This 468-nucleotide ribosomal RNA is filed under the name uncultured bacterium. Its description in RNAcentral is "partial 16S ribosomal RNA". It matches the Rfam family "Bacterial small subunit ribosomal RNA", at positions 28 to 507 of the family's 1533-position model. The record is from RNAcentral.